This is a long non-coding RNA of Trichomycterus rosablanca, 586 nucleotides long. RefSeq lists it as uncharacterized. The record is from RefSeq and is a predicted model, not a curated record. NCBI's taxonomy places the organism in Eukaryota, Metazoa, Chordata, Actinopteri, Siluriformes, Trichomycteridae. The transcript is spliced from 4 exons.
AGGAGGAAGUUCCCCUCACAACUGAACACGCUGCGGUUGUGAGUGUACAAUAUGAUGAUAAUCUGGUCUGGCUGCUUCUAAAAUACUUUUGUUGUGGUGGCUACAGAGAUUAUUUUUAUUUUAUUCAAAGUUACUUAAAAACGUGAUUUGGCUCAGAAUAUUGCUGUAAAACGACACGAUGGUUUUGUGCUGUGGACCACGUGGUCAUGGCAUCGACACAUGUUACUGGAGUUCAGAUCUGCAGACGGUUGUAUGGAACAAAGCAAAGUUUAACGGGCCAACCUGAGGCCUUUAUUUACAGGAAAUGAAUUUAAACAUGUAGGAACGAUUGUGAGGAGUACAAAUGUGAUCUGUGUCUGAUCUACAGCUGCUUCAGCUGGAUGUGCUUACUGGAUACAUCUGAUCUACAAGAGGAGUGUCUGCAGUGCAGUUUUCACCCUGUGUUCAGUCUGCAUCGUGACCUGGAUUAACAGUUACUAAAGAACGCUAAACUGAAGAAUGAGACGAGUUGAUUAAAUUUGCACAAAUGCAUCUUGUAAAUAACAUUUUAUACAGCAUACAAUAAAUAAAACUGUCAACAAUACAA